CCUACGGGUGGCAGCAGUGGGGAAUAUUGCACAAUGGAGGAAACUCUGAUGCAGCGAUGCCGCGUGAGGGAAGAAGGUUUUCGGAUUGUAAACCUCUGUCUUAAGGGACGAUAAUGACGGUACCUUAGGAGGAAGCUCCGGCUAACUACGUGCCAGCAGCCGCGGUAAUACGUAGGGAGCGAGCGUUGUCCGGAAUUACUGGGUGUAAAGGGAGUGUAGGCGGGAUGGUAAGUUAGGUGUGAAAUGCGGAGGCUCAACCUCCGAGCUGCACUUAAAACUGCUGUUCUUGAGUGAAGUAGAGGUUGGCGGAAUUCCCAGUGUAGCGGUGAAAUGCGUAGAUAUUGGGAGGAACAUCAGUGGCGAAGGCGGCCAACUGGGCUUUUACUGACGCUGAGGCUCGAAAGCGUGGGUAGCAAACAGGAUUAGAUACCCCUGUAGUCC
This 441-nucleotide ribosomal RNA is filed under the name Salmonella enterica subsp. enterica serovar Anatum. RNAcentral's name for it is "bacterial SSU rRNA". It matches the Rfam family "Bacterial small subunit ribosomal RNA", at positions 338 to 796 of the family's 1533-position model. Lineage: Bacteria; Pseudomonadati; Pseudomonadota; Gammaproteobacteria; Enterobacterales; Enterobacteriaceae. The record is from RNAcentral.